CGCUUGAGCUUAAUAUUUAUGAUGGUUUUGGAUACCUUGUGUCAUGCAAUGCAGAGUUUCCAUUCGAAUUCUGGGCCUUAGAAGUUGCACUAGAAGCUAUUUGUAGUUGUCUUGAUGCUCGCACAAGAGAAUUGGAAGCUGAAGCUUAUUCAGCUUUAGAUGAGCUGACCUCCAAGGACAGACAAACCAGUCUGGAAUUCUUAGUGGGAUUGGAGGGAUCUCUCAAUAUUUGGCAACCAAAUUUGAUUCAAAAUGUCAGGGCAUCACCAUCACUCCAAGCUCAAAGGGUCAAUUCUCUCUCUUCUGCUCAAGGAUUGGCCACUCAAAGGCAAAGGCAAGCACAUGUAUGUGAAUUUGCACAAGCUUAAAUUCUUAAUAUUUUUUUUUAGUUUUUGAGUAUGUUUUAAAUCUGAUCUAUGAUGCUCUGUUUUUUGUGCUAUUUUUGCUCUCCAAGUGUUCUAGUUAUUCACAAUCAUAUGAGUAAAAUAUUUGUGCUAUUGUGUGAUGGAUUUAGCUUAAAUGGGUUUAUUAAUUUUGCAGGUAUAUACAUUUGUGCUACAAGGGUUGUUUAACUAUAGUUAUAGGUCAAAUUUUAUAUCUUUAUCUAAUUUUUG
Long non-coding RNA from Humulus lupulus (European hop), 614 nucleotides. RefSeq lists it as uncharacterized. The record is from RefSeq and is a predicted model, not a curated record. Lineage: Eukaryota; Viridiplantae; Streptophyta; Magnoliopsida; Rosales; Cannabaceae. The transcript is spliced from 3 exons.